UCUAGUGACCGAUAGUGAACCAGUACCGUGAGGGAAAGGUGAAAAGCACCCCGGAAGGGGAGUGAAAUAGAACCUGAAACCGUGUGCUUACAAGUAGUCAGAGCCCGUUAAUGGGUGAUGGCGUGCCUUUUGUAGAAUGAACCGGCGAGUUACGAUUUGAUGCAAGGUUAAGCAGUAAAUGUGGAGCCGUAGCGAAAGCGAGUCUGAAUAGGGCGUUUAGUAUUUGGUCGUAGACCCGAAACCAGGUGAUCUACCCUUGGUCAGGUUGAAGUUCAGGUAACACUGAAUGGAGGACCGAACCGACUUACGUUGAAAAGUGAGCGGAUGAACUGAGGGUAGCGGAGAAAUUCCAAUCGAACCUGGAGAUAGCUGGUUCUCUCCGAAAUAGCUUUAGGGCUAGCCUCAAGUGAUGAUUAUUGGAGGUAGAGCACUGUUUGGACGAGGGGCCCCUCUCGGGUUACCGAAUUCAGACAAACUCCGAAUGCCAAUUAAUUUAACUUGGGAGUCAGAACAUGGGUGAUAAGGUCCGUGUUCGAAAGGGAAACAGCCCAGACCACCAGCUAAGGUCCCAAAAUAUAUGUUAAGUGGAAAAGGAUGUGGCGUUGCCCAGACAACUAGGAUGUUGGCUUAGAAGCAGCCAUCAUUUAAAGAGUGCGUAAUAGCUCACUAGUCGAGUGACACUGCGCCGAAAAUGUACCGGGGCUAAACAUAUUACCGAAGCUGUGGAUUGUCCUUUGGACAAUGGUAGGAGAGCGUUCUAAGGGCGUUGAAGCAUGAUCGUAAGGACAUGUGGAGCGCUUAGAAGUGAGAAUGCCGGUGUGAGUAGCGAAAGACGGGUGAGAAUCCCGUCCACCGAUUGACUAAGGUUUCCAGAGGAAGGCUCGUCCGCUCUGGGUUAGUCGGGUCCUAAGCUGAGGCCGACAGGCGUAGGCGAUGGAUAACAGGUUGAUAUUCCUGUACCACCUAUAAUCGUUUUA
RNAcentral lists this ribosomal RNA (977 nucleotides) under Staphylococcus aureus. RNAcentral describes it as "partial 23S ribosomal RNA". It matches the Rfam family "Bacterial large subunit ribosomal RNA", at positions 476 to 1461 of the family's 2925-position model. The record is from RNAcentral. Lineage: Bacteria; Bacillati; Bacillota; Bacilli; Caryophanales; Staphylococcaceae.